This 468-nucleotide ribosomal RNA is filed under the name uncultured bacterium. RNAcentral's name for it is "partial 16S ribosomal RNA". It matches the Rfam family "Bacterial small subunit ribosomal RNA", at positions 28 to 507 of the family's 1533-position model. The record is from RNAcentral.
GACGAACGCUGGCGGCGUGCUUAACACAUGCAAGUCGAACGGACAGGCCCUGCUUUUGUGGGGUGCUCGAGUGGCGAACGGGUGAGUAACACGUGAGUAACCUGCCCUUGACUUUGGGAUAACUUCAGGAAACUGGGGCUAAUACCGGAUAGGAGCUCCUGCUGCAUGGUGGUGGUUGGAAAGUUUCGGCGGUUGGGGAUGGACUCGCGGCUUAUCAGCUUGUUGGUGGGGUAGUGGCUUACCAAGGCUUUGACGGGUAGCCGGCCUGAGAGGGUGACCGGCCACAUUGGGACUGCGAUACGGCGCAGACUCCUACGGGAGGCAGCGGGGGGGAAUAUUGCACAAUGGGCGGAAGCCUGAUGCAGCAACGCCGCGUGCGGGAUGACGGCCUUCGGGUUGUAAACCGCUUUCGCCUGUGACGAAGCGUGAGUGACGGUAAUGGGUAAAGAAGCACCGGCUAACUACGUG